RNAcentral lists this ribosomal RNA (243 nucleotides) under uncultured bacterium. Its description in RNAcentral is "partial 16S ribosomal RNA". It matches the Rfam family "Bacterial small subunit ribosomal RNA", at positions 524 to 770 of the family's 1533-position model. The record is from RNAcentral.
UACGUAGGGUCCGAGCGUUGUCCGGAGUUACUGGGCGUAAAGCGCGCGCAGGCGGCGGUGUAAGCAUGGCGUGAAAGCCCUGGCUUAACCAGGGAGGGUCGUCGUGGACUGCACCGCUUGAGGCGGUAGGGCUGGUGGAAUGCCUGGUGUAGUGGUGAAAUGCGUAGAGAUCAGGCGGAACACCCGUGGCGAAGGCGGCCAGCUGGGCCGUCCCUGACGCUGAGGCGCGAAGGCGUGGGAGCG